This 466-nucleotide ribosomal RNA is filed under the name uncultured bacterium. Its description in RNAcentral is "bacterial SSU rRNA". It matches the Rfam family "Bacterial small subunit ribosomal RNA", at positions 338 to 795 of the family's 1533-position model. The record is from RNAcentral.
CCUACGGGUUGCACCAGUGGGGAAUUUUCCGCAAUGGACGAAAGUCUGACGGAGCAACGCCGCGUGAGUGAUGAAGGUUUUCGGAUCGUAAAGCUCUGUUGUUAGGGAAGAACAAGUGCCGUUCAAAUAGGGCGGCACCUUGACGGUACCUAACCAGAAAGCCACGGCUAACUACGUGCCAGCAGCCGCGGUAAUACGUAGGUGGCGAGCGUUGUCCGGAAUUAUUGGGCGUAAAGGGCUCGCAGGCGGUUUCUUAAGUCUGAUGUGAAAGCCCCCGGCUCAACCGGGGAGGGUCAUUGGAAACUGGGGAACUUGAGUGCAGAAGAGGAGAGUGGAAUUCCACGUGUAGCGGUGAAAUGCGUAGAGAUGUGGAGGAACACCAGUGGCGAAGGCGACUCUCUGGUCUGUAACUGACGCUCAGGUGCGAAAGCGUGGGGAGCAAACAGGAUUAGAUACCCGGGUAGUC